Molecule: ribosomal RNA, 253 nt
Filed under: uncultured bacterium
Lineage: Bacteria
Description: partial 16S ribosomal RNA
Rfam family: Bacterial small subunit ribosomal RNA
Source: RNAcentral
UACGUAGGGGGCUAGCGUUGUCCGGAAUCAUUGGGCGUAAAGCGUGCGUAGGCGGCCCGAUAAGUCUGCUGUAAAAGUCAACGGCUCAACCGUUGAAAGCCGGUGGAUACUGUCGGGCUAGAGUCCGGAAGAGGCAAGUGGAAUUCCUGGUGUAGCGGCGGAAUGCGCAGAUAUCAGGAGGAACACCUAUAGCGAAGGCAGCUUGCUGGGACGGUACUGACGCUAAGGCACGAAAGCGUGGGGAGCGAACAGG